Molecule: ribosomal RNA, 404 nt
Filed under: uncultured bacterium
Lineage: Bacteria
Description: bacterial SSU rRNA
Rfam family: Bacterial small subunit ribosomal RNA
Source: RNAcentral
UGGGGAAUAUUGGACAAUGGGGGAAACCCUGAUCCAGCCAUGCCGCGUGAGUGAAGAAGGCCCUAGGGUUGUAAAGCUCUUUCACCAAGGACGAUGAUGACGGUACUUGGACAAGAAGCCCCGGCUAACUCCGUGCCAGCAGCCGCGGUAAUACGGAGGGGGCUAGCGUUGUUCGGAAUUACUGGGCGUAAAGCGCGCGUAGGCGGUAAUCCAAGUCAGGCGUGAAAGCCCCAGGCUCAACCUGGGAACUGCGUUUGAUACUGGAUAACUAGAGGCCGGGAGAGGGUAGUGGAAUUCCCAGUGUAGAGGUGAAAUUCGUAGAUAUUGGGAAGAACACCGGUGGCGAAGGCGGCUACCUGGACCGGACCUGACGCUGAGGUGCGAAAGCGUGGGGAGCGAACAGG